Molecule: long non-coding RNA, 1536 nt
Filed under: Salmo trutta (river trout)
Lineage: Eukaryota; Metazoa; Chordata; Actinopteri; Salmoniformes; Salmonidae
Description: lncRNA (ENSSTUG00000016944.1)
Source: RNAcentral
AUGCUUUUGGCAAUUGUAGCAUUGAACCAAACGAAUGUAAUUUCUCUACAGGUCUGCCAACCUGGAUGUGAACCCCUGAAAAUACAGCAAGUAAUGCCAUUGGAAUCAGAUCAGGUAAUGGGGUCAAAGAUGUGCCAAGGACAGGACUCAAGAACUGAAAUUCACCAAAUGAUCAGUGACUGACUAAAAUAAACUAGUUCAAUGCAAACAUUGUCUAAUGUCAAGUUUAAUGGCGUACUUAAAACCAGAAAGUCACAGGGCUCUAAACCCCAGUUAAUCAGUGUGAAAGGCUGAAUUGUAAGGUGCUUUCUUGAGUGUCCAGGAAGAACUGCUCAUCCUGCAGAAAGUUACAAUCCUAAGAAGAUAAAACAAGUACAUUUAUCUACAAUAAAGAUUUUGAAACAAUCUGCUUGUUCCAUCUUUACUAGAACAUCUAGGGUAAAUUUCAAAGGUGACUUCUCUUGUAAACUGCUUUGGCCCUCUGAAAUUGGCUCAAACUGUUCAACUUUAAACCGAUUGUAAGCACUUGAUUUGGUUAGUAAUGCAUUAGUUACCUUCUCUGCUGUGUGCCUGAGCAGGGCCAAUCUGGCCUGGAGAUCUGUAGAAUCUGGACUAAAGAAUAGGGGUGAGGGCUGGUGAACAGCCUUGGUGGAAGCCAUCUGAGGUACUGUCAACACUGGUCUGCAGUAUUUAAAAUAUGCUGUUCUGUGUUAAUUCGGUGGGGGGGGGGGGAAAUCUGUAAAAGGCUCAGCCCACCUGUGAAUAUAGGGGCCAUAGAUUGAGGGAAAGGAGUGAUUGGGAGGCUGUGUUUGAGUCUCCAUUUCUCUACGCUGCUCAGUCAUCUUCAUUCUCUCCUGCAGAAGGGGAAAUGGUUAGUUGACACUAACAUUUACAUGAGUCUGGAUAUGAUUUGUACACAAUUCAAAGGCGCUAUAGGAGGACUGGCUGGAAUGGAACCAUUCCAACCAUAAUGUGCCGUUCCUGAUGUGUACCAGCAGAGGCUGGUGGGAGAUUGGCUGGUAUACCCCCCCACUUAUUGACCUGAUGGAGGUGCUGCUCGUGUUGUCUCAGUCUCUCCAUCUGGGAGUGGAUGCUCCUCAGCCUGGUCUGGUGCUCAGUCUCCACCUGUCUGGACUCCUGUAGGGCCUUCUCCCCCUAAUGAUAUUUUUCUGAUGCCAGCUGCAAAUACCGAAGCAGGGCGCCCAGUCACAUUGUGCUACCUAUCGCAUAUACAUUACUGUCAACCCAAUAGCUAGCUAUUAGUGAUGAGGUUGUGGUCCAGACCUUGCUGAAGGCCUCUACCUCCUGGACACGUGUCUUCAGCUGCAGGCCUGUACCACUUAGCCUCUCCUUUUCCCUGUCCAGAGCCUCCCUCUCCCAUGCUACAGCUGCUUUAGCUCCCCAGCACGCAGCUUCAGGUCCACCUGUUCCUGGUGAUUACAGAAGACGGCCUGUUUCAAAGCUCAAUUGCUUGAGAUCAAGUGAGUGAAAUAUGAUUGGGUUAAGUAAACUCCAUUGCCUGAACAUGGUAAAACG